AGAAUCAACGCUGGCGGCGUGCCUAACACAUGCAAGUCGCACGAGAAAGGGACUUCGGUCCUGAGUACAGUGGCGCACGGGUGAGUAACACGUGAAUAAUCUACCUCCGAGUGGGGAAUAACUGAGAGAAAUCUUAGCUAAUACCGCAUAACACUUACGAGUCAAAGCAGCAAUGCGCUUGGAGAGGAGUUCGCGGCAGAUUAGUUAGUUGGCGGGGUAAUGGCCCACCAAGACGAUGAUCUGUAUCCGGCCUGAGAGGGCGCACGGACACACUGGAACUGAAACACGGUCCAGACUCCUACGGGAGGCAGCAGUGGGGAAUUUUGCGCAAUGGGGGAAACCCUGACGCAGCAACGCCGCGUGGAGGAUGAAAUAUCUUGGUAUGUAAACUCCUUUCGAUGGGGAAGAUAAUGACGGUACCCAUAGAAGAAGCCCGGCUAACUCGCGCCAGCAGCCGC
RNAcentral lists this ribosomal RNA (458 nucleotides) under uncultured bacterium. RNAcentral describes it as "SSU rRNA". It matches the Rfam family "Bacterial small subunit ribosomal RNA", at positions 26 to 518 of the family's 1533-position model. The record is from RNAcentral.